CCUANGGGAGGCAGCAGUAAGGAAUAUUGGUCAAUGGGCGCAAGCCUGAACCAGCCAUGCCGCGUGAAGGAUGACGGCCCUAUGGGUUGUACACUUCUUUUGUACGGGAAGAAAAAGGACUUUUCUAAGUCAACUGACGGUACCAGAUGAAUAAGCACCGGCUAACUCCGUGCCAGCAGCCGCGGUAAUACGGAGGGUGCAAGCGUUAUCCGGAUUCAUUGGGUUUAAAGGGUGCGUAGGCGGAAUAAUAAGUCAGUGGUGAAAGCCUGCGGCUUAACCGUAGAACUGCCAUUGAUACUGUUAUUCUUGAGUAUAGUUGAGGUGGGCGGAAUGUGUAAUGUAGCGGUGAAAUGCUUAGAUAUUACACAGAACACCAAUUGCGAAGGCAGCUCACUAAGCUGUUACUGACGCUGAGGCACGAAAGCGUGGGGAGCAAACAGGAUUAGAUACCCCGNUANUC
Molecule: ribosomal RNA, 460 nt
Filed under: uncultured bacterium
Lineage: Bacteria
Description: bacterial SSU rRNA
Rfam family: Bacterial small subunit ribosomal RNA
Source: RNAcentral